AGGCAACGGACUCUGAAUCCGUCAUUCCGCUGGUUCGAAUCCAGCUACCCCAG
RNAcentral lists this transfer RNA (53 nucleotides) under Kandleria vitulina DSM 20405. It matches the Rfam family "tRNA", at positions 21 to 71 of the family's 71-position model. From Rfam's summary of the family: Transfer RNA (tRNA) molecules are approximately 80 nucleotides in length. Their secondary structure includes four short double-helical elements and three loops (D, anti-codon, and T loops). Lineage: Bacteria; Bacillati; Bacillota; Erysipelotrichia; Erysipelotrichales; Coprobacillaceae. The record is from Rfam by way of RNAcentral.